AUGAACGCUGGCGGCGUGCCUAAUACAUGCAAGUCGAGCGAACAGAUAAGGAGCUUGCUCCUUUGACGUUAGCGGCGGACGGGUGAGUAACACGUGGGUAACCUACCUAUAAGACUGGAAUAACUCCGGGAAACCGGGGCUAAUGCCGGAUAACAUUUAGAACCGCAUGGUUCUAAGGUGAAAGAUGGUUUUGCUAUCACUUAUAGAUGGACCCGCGCCGUAUUAGCUAGUUGGUAAGGUAACGGCUUACCAAGGCAACGAUACGUAGCCGACCUGAGAGGGUGAUCGGCCACACUGGAACUGAGACACGGUCCAGACUCCUACGGGAGGCAGCAGUAGGGAAUCUUCCGCAAUGGGCGAAAGCCUGACGGAGCAACGCCGCGUGAGUGAUGAAGGUCUUCGGAUCGUAAAACUCUGUUAUUAGGGAAGAACAAAUGUGUAAGUAACUGUGCACGUCUUGACGGUACCUAAUCAGAAAGCCACGGCUAACUACGUG
This 496-nucleotide ribosomal RNA is filed under the name uncultured bacterium. RNAcentral describes it as "partial 16S ribosomal RNA". It matches the Rfam family "Bacterial small subunit ribosomal RNA", at positions 29 to 507 of the family's 1533-position model. The record is from RNAcentral.